GUCAUUUUUUUAAUUUAAUUACCGAUUUUUUAGGUUGGCAAUAUGUUUCAAACACGUGUCCGCGACAUAUUUUUAAUUUAAUAACCGAUUUAGUGCGAUUUUUUAGGUUGGCAAUGUGUUUUAGACACGUGUCCGCGCCAUUUUUUUAAUUUAAUUACCGAUUUUUUAGGUUGGCAAUAUGUUUCAAACACGUGUCCGCGACAUAUUUUUAAUUUAAUAACCGAUUUAGUGCGAUUUUUUAGGUUGGCAAUGUGUUUUAGACACGUGUCCGCGCCAUUUUUUUAAUUUAAUUACCGAUUUUUUAGGUUGGCAAUAUGUUUCAAACACGUGUCCGCGACAUAUUUUUAAUUUAAUAACCGAUUUAGUGCGAUUUUUUAGGUUGGCAAUGUGUUUUAGACACGUGUCCGCGCCAUUUUUUUAAUUUAAUUACCGAUUUUUUAGGUUGGCAAUAUGUUUCAAACACGUGUCCGCGACAUAUUUUUAAUUUAAUAACCGAUUUAGUGCGAUUUUUUAGGUUGGCAAUGUGUUUUAGACACGUGUCCGCGCCAUUUUUUUAAUUUAAUUACCGAUUUUUUAGGUUGGCAACGUGUUUUAGACACGUGUCCGCGUCAUUUUUUUAAUUUAAUUACCGAUUUUUUAGGUUGGCAAUAUGUUUCAAACACGUGUCCGCGACAUAUUUUUAAUUUAAUAACCGAUUUAGUGCGAUUUUUUAGGUUGGCAAUGUGUUUUAGACACGUGUCCGCGCCAUUUUUUUAAUUUAAUUACCGAUUUUUUAGGUUGGCAAUGCGUUUUAAACACGUGUCCGCGACAUAUUUUUAAUUUAAUUACCGAUUUAGUGCGUUUUUUUAG
Long non-coding RNA from Tribolium castaneum (red flour beetle), 849 nucleotides. RefSeq lists it as uncharacterized. NCBI's taxonomy places the organism in Eukaryota, Metazoa, Arthropoda, Insecta, Coleoptera, Tenebrionidae. The record is from RefSeq and is a predicted model, not a curated record. The transcript has 4 exons.